GGGUCAACAAAUCCUAAGUGUUGAUGCGAGUCAUCCAGGGUCACUUCAUGACUCAUUUAUAUGGAGCCACCAUCCUGUAUGUUACCAUUUAGAAAAUUUAGGGUCUGAAGCAACAUGGCUUUUAGGUAACUUGGGUACUCACAAUGAAGAACGAUGAUGACACCUAUUUUGGAUGCAGAACCAGACACACCGGAAGCAUAUUAUACACAAAAGCAUGUAAAGGCUAGGAAUGUUAUAGAAAGAACUAUAGGUCUUCUCAAAGCACGUUUCCGGUGUCUCUUGUGCCACAGGGUGUUGCAUUAUCAACCACAGGUUGCUGGCUUCAUUACAAAUGCUUGUGUAAUAUUGCACAAUAUUUGUAAUGAAAACAACUUGCCUGAAGUAAGGUUGACAGAAGAAGAGCAAGCAAGGGAAGUUGCACAACAACCACCAGUGGAAGCUCUUCAUGAACCAGCUGAGCAACACAACAUUGAGCUUCAACGUGGUAUAUCUACACGGCGGGAUCUUGUGGCACGUCUCUGGGCUCUUUGCCGUACCUGAAAAUAAAAAAAUAGAAUUUUAUUAUUAA
Molecule: long non-coding RNA, 568 nt
Organism: Amyelois transitella
Lineage: Eukaryota; Metazoa; Arthropoda; Insecta; Lepidoptera; Pyralidae
Exons: 2
Source: RefSeq, a predicted model, not a curated record